UACGAAGGGGGCUAGCGUUGUUCGGAAUCACUGGGCGUAAAGGGUGCGUAGGCGGAUUCUUAAGUCAGGGGUGAAAUCCCGAGGCUCAACCUCGGAACUGCCUUUGAUACUGGGGAUCUUGAGUCCGGAAGAGGUGAGUGGAACUGCGAGUGUAGAGGUGAAAAUUCGUAGAUAUUCGCAAAGAACACCGGUGGCGAAGGCGGCUCACUGGUCCGGAACUGACGCUGAGGCACGACAGCGUGGGGAGCAAACAGG
RNAcentral lists this ribosomal RNA (255 nucleotides) under uncultured bacterium. RNAcentral describes it as "partial 16S ribosomal RNA". It matches the Rfam family "Bacterial small subunit ribosomal RNA", at positions 524 to 776 of the family's 1533-position model. The record is from RNAcentral.